GACGAACGCUGGCGGCGUGCUUAACACAUGCAAGUCGAACGGAAAGGCCUCUUUCGGGGGGUACUCGAGUGGCGAACGGGUGAGUAACACGUGAGUAACCUGCCCUUGACUUUGGGAUAACUUCAGGAAACUGGGGCUAAUACCGGAUAGGAGCUCCUGCUGCAUGGUGGGGGUUGGAAAGUUUCGGCGGUUGGGGAUGGACUCGCGGCUUAUCAGCUUGUUGGUGGGGUAGUGGCUUACCAAGGCUUUGACGGGUAGCCGGCCUGGGAGGGUGACCGGCCACAUUGGGACUGAGAUACGGCCCAGACUCCUACGGGAGGCAGCAGUGGGGAAUAUUGCACAAUGGGUGGAAGCCUGAUGCAGCAACGCCGGGUGCGGGAUGACGGCCUUCGGGUUGUAAACCGCUUUCGCUCAUGACGAAGCUUUGUGUGACGGUAGUGGGUAAAGAAGCACCGGCUAACUACGUG
Molecule: ribosomal RNA, 467 nt
Filed under: uncultured bacterium
Lineage: Bacteria
Description: partial 16S ribosomal RNA
Rfam family: Bacterial small subunit ribosomal RNA
Source: RNAcentral